AAAUCCCUUAUCUCGACAGGUUCUCUUUCAUUUCCAGGUGGCCUGUUCCAGAGCUUGGAACCUGUGUUUGUUCUCCCCCAAGCUCCCAUCCCUGCGGGCUUCUUCCCUGGGAAGGUGGCCUGGGACCAGGCCAAGGAUCUAUGGAAAAUUGCAGCUAAGCUUGCAUAAGUAAACCUUGGAAGAGGGGAGGCUAAGGAAUGCCCAGAAUGGAAGGAUGCUGUGGCCUGCCCUGAGCUUUCCAGCCUGCCGAGCUAUGAGCCUUCAAGAAGAAAUUCUGUGUGAAAUCAGAAAAUCUCACAAAAGUAUGAGCGGAUUGGAAAUCUGACUUAUCGGAAGAUGUUGUUUUAAUUUGGGAUAUGCUCAAUUUGAGAGGGAAGCAGUCCAUACAGGGAAGAAACUGAAGAUUAGCAUGUUCAACAGCCAUUCACUCUCCCUUCCAGGGGUCCUCUAUCACAAGGUAUAGAAAGAUAACCAAACAUACCUGUUUCUCU
This is a long non-coding RNA of Bos indicus x Bos taurus (hybrid cattle), 491 nucleotides long. NCBI's taxonomy places the organism in Eukaryota, Metazoa, Chordata, Mammalia, Artiodactyla, Bovidae. The record is from Ensembl.